AACGAACGCUGGCGGCAUGCCUAACACAUGCAAGUCGAACGAGACCUUCGGGUCUAGUGGCGCACGGGUGCGUAACGCGUGGGAACCUGCCCUUAGGUUCGGAAUAACUCCCCGAAAGGGGUGCUAAUACCGGAUAAUGUCUUCGGACCAAAGAUUUAUCGCCUUUGGAUGGGCCCGCGUUGGAUUAGCUAGUUGGUAGGGUAAAAGCCUACUAAGGCGACGAUCCAUAGCUGGUCUGAGAGGAUGGUCAGCCACACUGGGACUGAGACACGGCCCAGACUCCUACGGGAUGCAGCAGUGGGGAAUAUUGGACAAUGGGCGAAAGCCUGAUCCAGCAAUGCCGCGUGAGUGAUGAAGGCCUUAGGGUUGUAAAGCUCUUUUACCCGGGAUGAUAAUGACAGUACCGGGAGAAUAAGCUCCGGCUAACUCCGUG
RNAcentral lists this ribosomal RNA (433 nucleotides) under uncultured bacterium. Its description in RNAcentral is "partial 16S ribosomal RNA". It matches the Rfam family "Bacterial small subunit ribosomal RNA", at positions 29 to 507 of the family's 1533-position model. The record is from RNAcentral.